This 866-nucleotide non-coding RNA is filed under the name Pongo abelii (Sumatran orangutan). The record is from RNAcentral. Lineage: Eukaryota; Metazoa; Chordata; Mammalia; Primates; Hominidae.
GGCCAGAUCGAGCGGAGAAAUGGUGUGUUGUCCUUGAAUCGAAGGAAGACACUUAAAGAUGAAGUGCUUAAUUCAAGGUCACAGAAUGUCGGGGAUGGACCUCCAGAUUUCCUUACUGGAAAACAAGCUCAGGGCUCCCACUGAUUGUACAUUAUGAGACAGAGUCUUCUUGCUAUGUUGCCCAGGCUGGUCUUGAACUCCUAACCUCAAGCGAUCCUCCCAUCUUGGCCUCCCAGGUGUCAGGAUUACAGGCAUGUGCUAUCACACCCAACCUGAUACAUUGCCUUUAUAAAUUUUUUUUUCUUUAUUCUAAAAAACAGAAAAAACAAAACUGGAUACAUGUGCAGAACAUGCAGCAGGGAAUUUCUUCCACUUGCAGACCAAGUGUGUUGGGGACUUGAGAUAUGUACAUGAGUGUUUGUGAUGUUUCCUGGUGAAAGCACAGGUGAGACGUGGUCUUGUAACACAGUGGUUAAGAAUGUGACUUUGGAGCCAGCCUGCUAGGGGCUGAAUUCUGACUCAGCCAUUUAUUAACUGUGUGACCUUAGGGAGGAGGACCUGGUUGAUAGAAGAAUUUAUCUCAUAGUCUUAACAUCCACUGUAAUUCCGAACUUUGAGGACGAUAGAGAUCAGUGGGCUUUGACUGCCCAGCAUGCAGUCUCCAUUCUUAGGUAGGUUCCCAAGCCUGUAAAAUGUAAGUCUUAUGUUGCUGAGGGCCAUCUUGCCACCCCGAGGGGAACGCUGCCUGAGAAUGAAACCAGCAUAAGUAAAAGCUGAGCUGUGAGAUGGAGUGAGAUGAAGGCCACAUGACAUCUUUGGAGCACCUGGAUCUAACUGUGCCUUAAGCUAGUCUAACCCUGAACAUU